GGUGGCGAUACUGGAGACCCGUGGUGGUGAUCUGUCAUAAUUUGAUACGUCAAAUGAGGAUCUCUGUUACAUUUAAAAAGCUUAUGCUCAAGCAAUUUUUGUUGUUAAUAAAUUAUUUUUUUGUGAGUUUUAUGCUCCUUUGAGACCCAAAUUGGCCAACAUGCCAUGAGAAACCUAACAAUGCGCUUGAGUGGUGUAGGGAGUCUAUAAUGACAUGAACUUGAAGAAAGCAUCACUUAGAAUGUAGGCAUCGCAAUAUCGAAGCAUGAAAGUUGUGAUACCUUUGACAAUUCUGAAGUGAGAAAAAUUG
Molecule: long non-coding RNA, 310 nt
Filed under: Gossypium raimondii (Peruvian cotton)
Lineage: Eukaryota; Viridiplantae; Streptophyta; Magnoliopsida; Malvales; Malvaceae
Description: long non-coding RNA (GRAI_LNC008295)
Source: RNAcentral